CUUAUAUAAUAUUUUUUAUAAAUUCAUGUUAGAAUGAGAUUGCUGGUUCGAGUGGUAAGGAGUUAGUUUGUUGGAGGUCUUGAGUUUGAAUCCCAGAGUGAAAGUGGGAGAUAAUUUUUGGCGUCGGCUGUUGAUAGUAGUUCGGUGGUAGUGGGAUUCUAAGAUAGUUGGGUUGUUAGUGGAUGUAGUGGGAUUUUGCUCAAAUCCUCUUUAAUUUUAUUUUAUUUUAAUUUCUUUUUCUUUUUCUCUCUCUUCCCAAAAGUCUAAUGUUAGUUUUCUCUUUUCUCUACUACUCCUCUUUAUUUUUCUGCAAUUCUGUCUAUAAUCUUUUGUCG
Molecule: long non-coding RNA, 335 nt
Filed under: Gossypium raimondii (Peruvian cotton)
Lineage: Eukaryota; Viridiplantae; Streptophyta; Magnoliopsida; Malvales; Malvaceae
Description: long non-coding RNA (GRAI_LNC000910)
Source: RNAcentral